Long non-coding RNA from Acinonyx jubatus (cheetah), 3956 nucleotides. RefSeq lists it as uncharacterized. The record is from RefSeq and is a predicted model, not a curated record. NCBI's taxonomy places the organism in Eukaryota, Metazoa, Chordata, Mammalia, Carnivora, Felidae. The transcript has 3 exons.
AACCCACAUACUGUAAGAUCAUGACCUGAGCUGAAGUCGGACACUUAACUGCACCCAGGCACCCCAAUCACAUCUUUAAUAAAGAAAGGGGAAAGGAGCAAAGAAACACUUAAGUUGAUUUUAUUAAAUGUAGGCACUGGAGGAGAGAAUUCAAGUUCCAAAACAAUUUGUUAAAGAGGCUGGAUUUAGUUCUCAUUUAUUUGUGUUCUAAGUAUUUUAAAUUGCAGCCAGAAGAACGGCGACUUUUAAGGAGUUAAAUCCAAAAUAAAAAUAUAUCUGCACCCAUCAUGCACAUUUGGUCUUUUAGCUAAUGUUACAUGAUGACUAUCUUCCUGUUCACGUAUUAGCAUACACUACGAUUCCACUGUGGUCUUUUCUCCAGAAGCUUACUUUCUAGGGACAAAUAUAAAUAGAUGUCAUAUUUGCUUAUUUGGCAUUUUGUGUUCUCUUUUCAAAGACAGGACAUGUAUUUCUAGUUUUCUAAAUUGCUAAUAGUUUCAUCUUGGCUGAAAUUCUGCAUUUUAAUCCCAAAUCAGACCCAAACGGAUAAUUGAAGAAGAAUUUCCAGUUCAGUGGUAGCAACUUGUUUGGAGUAAAUAAAUCACUGGAAAGUCCAUUAUGUUUCCUCAGCUAAGAUUGGAAAGAGUCAGAAUCUAACAUACCACUUGUCUCAGUAGGAACACAAAGAAAUUCAGUUAAGCGUCCCAUGGAUUCAGACAAAUACAUGUCGAAGGAGUCUAAGGGCAAUUCCAGAUUGUUCUACAGAGAAGAUAGGUCUACCCUAAUCUUGAAGUUAGUUUUAGUCAAUCUACAUGAUGUGGGACUGACAUGAAUCAACCUUUUCUAAAUCUUGAAUGAUGAGGAAAAUGAACAAGUUGGGUGGAGCCCAAACAGAAAAUGAACAGAAAAUACAAAGCAUGUACAAGCAUGUUUUAGACUGGUAUCAGUUAAUAAAUAUGAGCUUUAAGGGAUGAGGGGAUAUAUUUGCAGACAAUCUGUGAACGAAGUGGAACAAGAGGUAUGUUAUAAGCGUACAAUAAGCUGCACAGAAUUAGCAUUUUUGUGUUAACAGAAAAAAAAAAGCAGAAUUGCUUGAUUUCCUGCGACUUUUCAGUUCUCUCUCAUCUCUAGAGUAAUGAUCUAUCCACCCCAGAAUUCUGUAUACUAAGGGUGUAGUGUGGGCUUUCUGCUCUGCAGAGUCCCGUACUGGGCUUUCUUCUUGACAUGAUAUUUUGACUAUGUGAAUUCUGACUAAUUGCUAGUACCUCCAGGCCACUGGUUUCCCCCAGCAGCAUCAUAAAAGCUUACCUGCAAAAAUGUUCAUGUAUGAAAAUUUGUGUGAAAGACCCACUGAAAGAUAGUUCUAAAGUGUAAGAAUUCUCUAUGUUAAGAAAUGCAUUUAGAGGUUUCAGUUUUCACAUGGACUUAAAGUGUCUUCGUGCACGGGCCCACCCCACCUCUUCCAGCCUUUGUUCCCUCCUCUUCUUCCUGGGGGUUAAAUUUAUGAUAAUUACAUGUAGCGUUGCAUUCAGAAUUUGAAUAGAUUUCUGCAGGCUCUCCACUGGUUCCUACAGGAUCAGCUCACUCUCACAUUAACACUAUGAUGUUUUCACUGAUCUGUUUGGUGAUUCCAGAUUUAUUACCCUAAUUAUGAGCUAAUGAGCACUGAAUUUUACAAGGAAAUUAGCAUUUACUUGCUUAAGUAGGACAAAUUAUCAGCUUAUCCAAGAUAAAACAUCUCUUGUAUUUUGAGACCCUUUAACUCACCAAAAGAGAUGCUUAUCCUCUAGCCAAGUUAAAUCAGUUUCAGAGAAAGGCACUGACUGCUAUCUUGAAAACAAUUAACUCUACUGCAAUUUUAAGGUUUGCUUGGCAGGGCCCAAAAGUCUUUGGAAUCCUUUUCAAUUAGUGUUCUUUUUUAGUCACUUCUUUUUCUUUUUUUCUUUUUUCUUUUUUUUUUUUUUUUUAACGCUUGUUUAUUUUUGAGAGACAGAGAGACAGAGCACAAGCAGGGGAGGGGCCAGGAGAGAAAGGGAGACAGAAUCUGAAGCAGGCUCCAGGCUCUGAGCUGUCAGCACAGAGCCUGAUGCGGGGCUCAAACUCACAAACCAGGAGAUCAUGAGCUGAGCUGAAGUCCACUGAGCCACCCAGGCGCCCUCUCUUUUAGUCACCUCUACACCUGCACCCACUAUUUCCAAAACAGAAGAAAGCAAAGGAAGCUAUUGACAAGUCUCCUUCCAACCAAAACAGGAGUCUGGGAAUGAUUUAACAUAAAGAGAAGAUAGCACAAAUGCAGACCUUUCACAUUAGAUAAGAUGCUUUCUUCUCUUAACAGAGUACAAAUUACCACAUUUCAAUUAGUUCUUUUGGAGCCAGAAAAGGUACAGGUGCACAUUUUACUUUCAUUUCUCUGUCCUGUGUAUUUUCUCCAACAGAAAAGCAACUUUGGGAAUUCUUUUGGAGUUAGAGGAUUAUCACGUUAAUAAGGAACUUAAAGGCCUUAUUUUAACAUUUACUUCUUUUUUUUCAAGGGUAACCUUUCUAAUAUUAAUCAUCAUGUUGAGGAUUCUGUGAGAAAUGAUACAAAAUAUAAUAGAAGAGGACCAUCAUGGUGUUCCUUAGAGAUUAACUAGAAAAGGGUCAUCUCCAACUUUUGGUUGAAGUCCACCCUGUUUCUACUUCUGAAAGGCAGCAAGUUUUCCUGGAAAGAACAUCAAGGGAACUGGCUUUACUAGAGAAAAUUCAUCAAAACUUCUUCUCAAAGUAUCUGUCAACUGCCAAGAUAUGUAUUUGAGACUCCAAGUUCCCAGUUUGGAUAAGAGUGAUACAGAACUUCAUUAGAGACCCUGUCUUAUUUCUUGGAAACAAAGAAAAGGUAUGUGAAGAGACAGGCUUUCUUUUAGGUAGAGUUUCAAAGUAAAGGUAGUAGAUACAGUAUACUUAUUCAUUGUAUUCUCUUCCACAGUUUGCUUUUUUUUUUAACCUGCCUAGAAGCUUGGUCCUAUGCUACAAUUUCAUCACUAACAAUGCUAAGAGACCUCCAGAUGGAUAUCUAGUUUAGACAGUAUUUUUUCCAGUAUUCAUUUUCUUAUUUUUUUAAAACAGGUUAAUAUUUUGAUAUUAGUGAAACAAACUCAAGUAUAUUUGAGUUAUUUCCUUUAUAGAUUAUAGGAACUAAUUUUCUGGCUUGCUAGUUAGUAUUUAAAAGGAGACUAGCUGGGGGCACCUGGGUGGCUCAGUCAGUUGAGCGUCCGACUUCAGCUCAGGUCACGAUCUCACAGUUCUCAAAUUCGAGCCCCGCAUCUGGCUCUGUGCUGACAGCUCAGAGCCUGGGGCCUGCUUCUGUUUCUGUGUCUCCCCCUCUCCCUGCCCCUAACCCACUUGCAUUCUGUCUGUCUCUCAAAAAUAAAUAAACAUUAAAAAAAAAUUUUUUUUAAAUAAAAGGAGACUAGCUGUACUAAAGGCAAUGCUUGAAACAUAGUAGGUUCUCAGUAAAUACUUCAAAGAAAAUAAAGAUUGAAUAAAAUCAAAUGAACCAAUGAAUUAAUGAACUAAUGAAUAUAUCAAGAGUUGGCCAUAUUUCAAAGGAACUGGCCAAAUACUCUCAACUUACAUAGGUAACAAUUUCACUCUCUGCUUACCUUUUGUACCAUCUCUCCAUCAACAGCAUCCCCAAUAACAGGAUGCAGUCAUACACACAAAGGCAACAAUGUGUUUAUAUGUUUGUCUAGGGGAGUGGGCACCUAAAUUUUUUUUUUUUUUUUUUUUUUUUUUAGGUGUUUAGUCUUAGAUUUACAGGUUGAAAUCCGAGGAAGAAAAAGGAAAUGCUCUUACCCUUCCGGUGCCUCCCCCUUUAGGGAGUAUUAAUUAAAUGAAAGAAUAAAUAAGGGACUACUCCACUCGGGCUAUUUGUUUCCUCCAUCUGAACUCUCUUGACUUUUGUAAAUGAGUGUAAA